RNAcentral lists this ribosomal RNA (858 nucleotides) under Triticum aestivum (bread wheat). RNAcentral describes it as "partial small subunit ribosomal RNA". The record is from RNAcentral. Lineage: Eukaryota; Viridiplantae; Streptophyta; Magnoliopsida; Poales; Poaceae.
AUGCCAGGACGCCACUUGGAUUCAAACCUCCAUUUCACAUUUUCACUGCUCCCCCACGAAAUCCCUAGACUACCCCUGCCCUCCCGGGUCUCCUCCUCCCUGGGCGGAACGGAGCUGUGGCCAACCACACCCCUCCCCCCUCCCCCCUUCCCGUCCUUCCCCCAGCUCAGCUUCCUAGGGUUUCCUCCCGAUCCAACCCCGACCUCCAUGGCCAAGACCAAGCAGGGCAAGAGGGACAUCGACUCCUACACCAUCAGGGGCACCACCAAGGUCGUCCGAGUCGGGGAUUGCGUGCUGAUGCGGCCGUCGGACACGGACAACGCGCCCUACGUGGCCCGGGUGGAGAGCCUGGAGUCGGACGGUCGGGGGAGCGUGCGGGUGCGGGUCCGCUGGUACUACCGGCCGGAGGAGUCCAAGGGCGGCCGCCGGCAGUUCCACGGGGCCAAAGAGCUCUUCCUCUCCGACCACUUCGACACGCAGAGCGCACACACCAUCGAGGGCAAGUGCAUCGUUCACUCCUUCAAGAACUACACCAAGCUCGACAACGUCGGCCCGGAGGACUUCUUCUGCCGAUUCGAGUACAAGGCGGCCACCGGAGCGUUCACCCCCGACCGUGUCGCCGUGUACUGUAAGUGCGAGAUGCCGUACAACCCAGAUGACCUCAUGGUGCAAUGCGAGGGAUGCAAAGACUGGUUCCAUCCAACCUGUAUGGGAAUGACCAUUGAGCAGGCCAAAAAGUUGGAUACUUUCCUGUGUGCGGAUUGUGCUAAAGAAAAUGGUGCAAAGAGGCCUUCAAAUUCAUACCCGAGUUCACCAAGUUCUGAUUCUAAGGUUGAGCCGAAAAGGCGGAAAUGGUAA